This 896-nucleotide ribosomal RNA is filed under the name Metapochonia suchlasporia. Its description in RNAcentral is "LSU rRNA". It matches the Rfam family "Eukaryotic large subunit ribosomal RNA", at positions 38 to 963 of the family's 3401-position model. The record is from RNAcentral. Lineage: Eukaryota; Fungi; Ascomycota; Sordariomycetes; Hypocreales; Clavicipitaceae.
GCAUAUCAAUAAGCGGAGGAAAAGAAACCAACAGGGAUUGCCCCAGUAACGGCGAGUGAAGCGGCAACAGCUCAAAUUUGAAAUCUGGCCCCCAGGGUCCGAGUUGUAAUUUGCAGAGGAUGAUUUUGGCGAGGUGCCUUCCGAGUUCCCUGGAACGGGACGCCACAGAGGGUGAGAGCCCCGUCUGGUUGGACGCCGAGCCUAUGUAAAUCUCCUUCGACGAGUCGAGUAGUUUGGGAAUGCUGCUCUAAAUGGGAGGUAUAUGUCUUCUAAAGCUAAAUAUUGGCCAGAGACCGAUAGCGCACAAGUAGAGUGAUCGAAAGAUGAAAAGCACUUUGAAAAGAGGGUUAAAUAGUACGUGAAAUUGUUGAAAGGGAAGCGCUCAUGACCAGACUUGGGCCCGGUGAAUCAUCCAGCGUUCUCGCUGGUGCACUUUGCCGGGCACAGGCCAGCAUCAGUUUGCCCUGGGGGAUAAAGGCUUUGGGAAUGUGGCUCCUCCGGGAGUGUUAUAGCCCAUUGCAUAAUAUCCUGGGGCGGACUGAGGUUCGCGCAUCUGCAAGGAUGCUGGCGUAAUGGUCAUCAGCGACCCGUCUUGAAACACGGACCAAGGAGUCGUCUUCGUAUGCGAGUGUUCGGGUGUAAAACCCCUACGCGUAAUGAAAGUGAACGCAGGUGAGAGCUUCGGCGCAUCAUCGACCGAUCCUGAUGUUCUCGGAUGGAUUUGAGUAAGAGCAUACGGGGCCGGACCCGAAAGAAGGUGAACUAUGCCUGUAUAGGGUGAAGCCAGAGGAAACUCUGGUGGAGGCUCGCAGCGGUUCUGACGUGCAAAUCGAUCGUCAAAUAUGGGCAUGGGGGGCGAAAGACUAAUCGAACCUUCUAGUAGCUGGUUUCCGCGA